GAUGAACGCUGGCGGCGUGCCUAAUACAUGCAAGUCGAGCGAACAGACGAGGGGCUUGCUCCUCUGACGUUAGCGGCGGACGGGUGAGUAACACGUGGAUAACCUACCUAUAAGACUGGGAUAACUUCGGGAAACCGGAGCUAAUACCGGAUAAUAUAUUGAACCACAUGGUUCAAUAGUGAAAGACGGUUUUGCUGUCACUUAUAGAUGGAUCCGCGCCGCAUUAGCUAGUUGGUAAGGUAACGGCUUACCAAGGCAACGAUGCGUAGCCGACCUGAGAGGGUGAUCGGCCACACGGGAACUGAGACACGGUCCAGACUCCUACGGGAGGCAGCAGUAGGGAAUCUUCCGCAAUGGGCGAAAGCCUGACGGAGCAACGCCGCGUGAGUGAUGAAGGUCUUCGGAUCGUAAAACUCUGUUAUUAGGGAAGAACAAAUGUGUAAGUAACUAUGCACGUCUUGACGGUACCUAAUCAGAAAGCCACGGCUAACUACGUG
This 497-nucleotide ribosomal RNA is filed under the name uncultured bacterium. RNAcentral's name for it is "partial 16S ribosomal RNA". It matches the Rfam family "Bacterial small subunit ribosomal RNA", at positions 28 to 507 of the family's 1533-position model. The record is from RNAcentral.